Molecule: unclassified non-coding RNA, 158 nt
Filed under: uncultured Lecanorales
Lineage: Eukaryota; Fungi; Ascomycota; Lecanoromycetes
Description: sequence contains ITS2
Source: RNAcentral
CACCCCUCAAGCUCUUGCUUGGUGUUGGGGGAUUCGCCCUGGUUAGGGGCGCCCCCGAAAAUCAGCGGCGGUGCAGCCGAUAUCUCUAGCGCAGUGACUUACCAUUCUCGCUACGGAUUUUGGAGCAAAGCACCAUGCCAAAACGCAUAUUUUCUCUU